Molecule: ribosomal RNA, 376 nt
Filed under: Dicerura sp. JSC59
Lineage: Eukaryota; Metazoa; Arthropoda; Insecta; Diptera; Cecidomyiidae
Description: partial 12S ribosomal RNA
Source: RNAcentral
UAUUAUUUUAUUUAAUAAAAAGAAAAAUUUUUAAAUAAGUAUAUUUAAAAAUAAAAAUUAAAAAAUUUGGCAGUAUUUUAUAAAAUUAGAGGAUUUUGUUUAUUAAUUGAUGAUACACUAUAAAUUUUACUUGUUUUAUUAUUAAUUUGUAUAUCAUUGUCAUAAAAUUAUAUUUAAAAAUAUUAUUUUUAAAAAUAUAAAUUAAAUAAAAAUGUCAAAUUAAUAUGCAGUUUAUAAAUAAGGUUAAAAUGAAAUACAAUAAAAUUAUUUAAAUGGUUAAUUAAUUGAAAUAUUAAUUAUAAAGUGGAUUUAAUAGUAAAUUUUAAUAUUUAUUAAUUUUGAAAUAUGAUUAAAAUGUGCACAUAUUGCCCGUCGC